GAUGAACGCUGGCGGUGCGCCUAAUGCAUGCAAGUCGAGCGACGCACUUCGGAGGGGUAACCCACUGAAGUGACGGAGCGGCGAACGGGUGAGUAACACGUGAGCAACCUGCCCCACAGAUCGGGAUAGCCCAUGGGAAACCUGGAUUAAUACCGGAUGUCCUCGAAUGACCGCAUGGUCAACCGAGGAAAGGCCUUUGUGCUGUGGGAUGGGCUCGCGACUUAUCAGUUAGUUGGUGGGGUAACGGCCUACCAAGACGAUGACGAGUAGCUGGUCUGAGAGGACGAUCAGCCACACUGGAACUGAGACACGGUCCAGACUCCUACGGGAGGCAGCAGCAGGGAAUCUUGCGCAAUGGGCGAAAGCCUGACGCAGCGACACCGCGUGGGGGAUGAAGGCCUUUCGGGUUUGUAAAACCCCUUUC
Molecule: ribosomal RNA, 424 nt
Filed under: uncultured bacterium
Lineage: Bacteria
Description: bacterial SSU rRNA
Rfam family: Bacterial small subunit ribosomal RNA
Source: RNAcentral